AACGAACGCUGGCGGCAGGCCUAACACAUGCAAGUCGAGCGCGCCUUCGGGUGAGCGGCGGACGGGUGAGUAACGCGUGGGAAUAUGCCCUUCUCUACGGAAUAGGCCUGGGAAACUGGGGGUAAUACCGUAUACGCCCUUUGGGGGAAAGAUUUAUCGGGGAAGGAUUAGCCCGCGUUGGAUUAGGGAGUUGGUGGGGUAAUGGCCUACCAAGCCGACGAUCCAUAGCUGGUUUGAGAGGAUGAUCAGCCACACUGGGACUGAGACACGGCCCAGACUCCUACGGGAGGCAGCAGUGGGGAAUCUUAGACAAUGGGGGCAACCCUGAUCUAGCCAUGCCGCGUGAGUGAUGAAGGCCUUAGGGUUGUAAAGCUCUUUCAGCUGGGAAGAUAAUGACGGUACCAGCAGAAGAAGCCCCGGCUAACUCCGUG
RNAcentral lists this ribosomal RNA (431 nucleotides) under uncultured bacterium. RNAcentral's name for it is "partial 16S ribosomal RNA". It matches the Rfam family "Bacterial small subunit ribosomal RNA", at positions 29 to 507 of the family's 1533-position model. The record is from RNAcentral.